CUUACAGACCCCCUCCCUCUCGCAGCUGCAGAAGUUUGGGGCCGCGGCUGCGCGGGCGGCGGAGGUGAGCGGCGGCGGCGGGGACCCGCGGGAGAGCAGGGCUCCGGCCAGCGCACUUCGGUGACGGGGCCUCAGGACGCGCAGCAGCUUUCAGCUUCCCUUCCACCCGCCGGCGUUUCAUUGCAGCUCCUGGGAAACAACGGCCUCUAAGGAAUAAGGCGCUGCCGAAGAACGUCCAGCUACGACCGGACUUUGAAAGACAUGACAAUAAAUGUGAAAUGAUCGAUAAUCAAUUUGAUGAGUGAAGAACCCGCUGCUUUGGAGAGAGAAAGCGAGAGAGAUGGGGUGCGGGUGGGGAGAGCAUCAAUAAAAAUAUGGUGGUAAAGCCUGGCUAAAA
Canis lupus familiaris (dog) is the source of this 397-nucleotide long non-coding RNA. RefSeq lists it as uncharacterized. The transcript is spliced from 2 exons. The record is from RefSeq and is a predicted model, not a curated record. Lineage: Eukaryota; Metazoa; Chordata; Mammalia; Carnivora; Canidae.